AUACGGAGGGUGCGAGCGUUGUUCGGAAUCACUGGGCGUAAAGGGCGCGCAGGCGGUCUGUCAAGUCAGAUGUGAAAGCCCACGGCUCAACCGUGGACGUGCAUCUGAAACUGGCAGACUAGAGUACCGGAGGGGAAAGUGGAAUUCCCGGUGUAGAGGUGAAAUUCGUAGAUAUCGGGAGGAAUACCGGAGGCGAAGGCGACUUUCUGGACGGAUACUGACGCUGAGGCGCGAAAGCGUGGGGAGCGAACAGGAUUAGAAACCCCUGUAGUCC
RNAcentral lists this ribosomal RNA (274 nucleotides) under uncultured bacterium. RNAcentral's name for it is "partial 16S ribosomal RNA". It matches the Rfam family "Bacterial small subunit ribosomal RNA", at positions 523 to 796 of the family's 1533-position model. The record is from RNAcentral.